GAUGAAGAACGUAGCGAAAUGCGAUAAGUAAUGUGAAUUGCAGAAUUCAGUGAAUCAUCGAAUCUUUGAACGCACAUUGCGCCCGCCAGUAUUCUGGCGGGCAUGCCUGUCCGAGCGUCAUUUCAACCCUCGAACCCCUCCGGGGGGUCGGCGUUGGGGAUCGGCCCUUUACGGGGCCGGCCCCGAAAUACAGUGGCGGUCUCGCCGCAGCCUCUCCUGCGCAGUAGUUUGCACACUCGCAUCGUGAGCGCGGCGCGUCCACAGCCGUUAAACACCCCAAACUUCUGAAAUGUUGACCUCGGAUCAGGUAGGAAUACCCGCUGAACUUAAGCAUAUCAAUAAGCGGAGGA
Molecule: unclassified non-coding RNA, 350 nt
Filed under: soil metagenome
Description: partial contains 5.8S ribosomal RNA, internal transcribed spacer 2, and large subunit ribosomal RNA
Rfam family: 5.8S ribosomal RNA (bases 1-120)
Source: RNAcentral